Long non-coding RNA from Gallus gallus (chicken), 1232 nucleotides. The record is from Ensembl. NCBI's taxonomy places the organism in Eukaryota, Metazoa, Chordata, Aves, Galliformes, Phasianidae.
UUACUAUUAAUCUGCUCCAUACAGAAGGAAGAUUUAACUUCCUGUAUCUCAAUAUUCCCCUAGAGGAUAUUAUGAAAUACUGAUAUUGCAUUUGCUGUUUUCUAGUCACUGGGAUCUGAGGUAAUUUAAGCAAUAGAGUGUAGGGGCGUUCAAUGGCUUGGUCAUUUCAAACCAUUCUAGGACUGAGUCAAGCAGAAAUGAUUCACACUCAGGUAGCUGGCUUUCACAGUGAUUGUUGUGCUGCAUUGCUGCGGGAAAUCUCAGAGGGGAAAAAUGUGCCAUGCUGCAAAUUUAAUCGCCUGUAGGUAAGCACCACCUCAUCUAGCUGCAGCUGUUGCUGAGCUGUGCUGCAGAGCCAAGGACGUUUCUGCUUCUUCUGUUGUCCUGCCAGCAAGGAGCUGGAGGUGCACAAGAUACUGGAAGAGGACACUGCCAGGACAGCUGACCUAAACUGCCCAAAGGAAUGUUCCUUACUGGCUGACAUAAGUCAAUGAGUGGGCACUGAGCAAAUGGCUGAGUGGUGGUGAGCUGCCUGACAGGUUAAACCACAAUAUACUCCAGGUCGCACCAGCUUUCUGAGGGUUGUGGCAGGAGUAACAGAUGCAACAAUUCAUGGAAGUUUUAUUUUUAGAUGCAAAUCUCAGCACUGGGGCAGAUCUUUGGCAUAUGUCAGGGCAGUUUUAUUGACUGAAGUUUAUUCUAUAUCAAUACAAGCUUACCUGAAAAUGUACUUUUGGGAUUAUUCUCUCCACAUUCACAGAGAAACAGAUUUAUCCAGUGAAAAAAAUUCUGUUUAUUCAGACAUGCUCUACAGUGUACCAUUCCUCAUCUACAAGAGUAAAAAUGUUGAACUUCAGUUUGUGGAAUGUGGUUGUCUUUGUGUUCAAAAUAAAUUUUAAACAAAUGUAAUAGUUUUGUGCCUCCAGAUAUCACAACUGCCAUUAAUUAGUAAUCCUGGAAAAUCUGCUUAGAGUUAACAACAGGUGAUUAGAUAAGCAACUAACCAAAGUCCUACUGCUUGUGGCUGGAUUACUUGAAAGUUCUCCUUAUUGUCACUGGGGUUUUUCAUUUCUGUUUGGGCUGAAAAUGCUUUGCAAAUAGUUUAACUUCAAGUCUUAGCAGCACCUGUGAGAAGGGAAAAAUAUUAAAAUCAAAAGUAAAACUUCUGCAACUUUUUGUCAUGCUGCUUUUUUUUGAAAUGAACAUCUGAAGUGGAAACUUCUUGGAAAACC